AAAAAGGCAAAUCCUGGGUUUCCAUGUCCAACUUUGACUGUACGUCUUACAUAAAAAAUUUUUAUAAUUCGUAUUUUCACUGUUGUUAGAUGAUAAAACAUGAUUAAAAUUUUAUGCGUGACUUUUCUUUUUAAUUUUUUUCAUAUUUUUUUCAAAUAAGAAGGAUGGUCAAACGUUGGAUACGGAAACUAAGGUUUGCUUUUUUU
Oryza glaberrima (African rice) is the source of this 206-nucleotide non-coding RNA. The record is from Rfam. Lineage: Eukaryota; Viridiplantae; Streptophyta; Magnoliopsida; Poales; Poaceae.